CUGAAUACUUGAAGAAGAGUGAU
This 23-nucleotide small nuclear RNA is filed under the name Arabidopsis thaliana (thale cress). RNAcentral describes it as "snRNA_17227". The record is from RNAcentral. Lineage: Eukaryota; Viridiplantae; Streptophyta; Magnoliopsida; Brassicales; Brassicaceae.